ACGUAGGUGGCAAGCGUUGUCCGGAUUUAUUGGGCGUAAAGCGAGCGCAGGCGGUCUUUUAAGUCUGAUGUGAAAGCCCCCGGCUUAACCGGGGAGGGUCAUUGGAAACUGGGAGACUUGAGUGCAGAAGAGGAAAGCGGAAUUCCAUGUGUAGCGGUGAAAUGCGUAGAUAUAUGGAGGAACACCAGUGGCGAAGGCGGCUUUCUGGUCUGUAACUGACGCUGAGGCUCGAAAGCGUGGGGAGCAAACAGGGUUAGAUACCCUGGUAGUCCACGCCGUAAACGAUGAGUGCUAAGUGUUGGAGGGUUUCCGCCCUUCAGUGCUGCAGCAAACGCAUUAAGCACUCCGCCUGGGGAGUACGACCGCAAGGUUG
This 373-nucleotide ribosomal RNA is filed under the name uncultured bacterium. Its description in RNAcentral is "bacterial SSU rRNA". It matches the Rfam family "Bacterial small subunit ribosomal RNA", at positions 525 to 896 of the family's 1533-position model. The record is from RNAcentral.